UACAGAGGGGGCCAGCGUUAUUCGGAAUUAUUGGGCGUAAAGGGCGCGUAGGCGGCCAUGCGUGUCUUCCGUGAAAUCCCUCGGCCCAACUGAGGAACUGCGCCCGAGACUGCUUCUCUUGAGUCCCGGAGAGGAAGAUGGAAUUCCCGGUGUAGCGGUGAAAUGUGUAGAGAUCGGGAGGAACACCGGUGGCGAAGGCGGUCUUCUGGACGGUGACUGACGCUGAGGCGCGAAAGCGUGGGGAGCAAACGGG
RNAcentral lists this ribosomal RNA (253 nucleotides) under uncultured bacterium. Its description in RNAcentral is "partial 16S ribosomal RNA". It matches the Rfam family "Bacterial small subunit ribosomal RNA", at positions 524 to 776 of the family's 1533-position model. The record is from RNAcentral.